GCUUAAUAACAGCUGAUAAAGUGAGUAGUCACCAAAACAUCCAGAUAUUUUGUGAGGUAACUUAUGAUCAUUAAAAUGGAAUGUCAAGUUAAGAUAAACAAGCAUUUUUGACACCUCCUUCGAUGAAGAGCCAUUAAACCAACUUUUGCCCGAAAAUUCUCAUCAAACAACAAGGGAACUGACAGAGAAAAUGGAAUACUCCCACACUGCUAUAGAGAAGCAUCUUCACUACAGAAACAUUGAGCAUGCUUUGGCUAGCUUACAGCAACGAGGUAUUGGGUAGUACACAAUGUUUCAAGUGGCACAGCUCAAUCAAGAACAUGCUCAUCAUUUUUACAACAUCUGUGGUAUUGUGCAUCAAGAAUUCAUCCCCUAGGGUCAGACCAUCAAUCAUCAAUCAUUGCAGUUCUGCUGCAAUGUUUUAAAGCAUUUGAGGGAGGACAUUCAUCAAAAGUGACCAGAUCUGUGGAUUGUAAAGAAUUGGUUUCUUCAUGAUGGCAAUGAGCUCUCCUCACUCGUGAUUUUUUUGCCAAAAGAACAUGGUAUCGCUUCUGCAUCUGCACCAUCCUAUUCUCCAGACUUAGCACAUGCAGACUUCUAAUUCUUCUCCAAGAUGAAAAUGCAGAUCAAAGGUUGCUGUUUUAAUACUAUUGCCAAAAUCCAGAGUAAGUCACAAAAGGUCCUCGACUUGCUUACUGAAAAUGACUUCCGGGCAAGAUUCCAAAAGUGUUAGGAAUGCUGGGACCAGUGUAUUACUGUACAAGUUGACUAUUUCAAAUGAGAUGAUGUUAAAACUUAGGUAAAUAAGUUAUCCUUUAUUUAACAUAACUAGUUCAGGAAUUUUUUGAUACCACCUCAUACUAUAGGGCCCAGUACAUUUAUUUGCUUAGAGACCUAUAAUGCUGCAAAGACAGCUCUGAUUGUAGAUGAAAAAUAGAUUAAAAUAAAUGCAAUAAAAAGCCCCAACAAAUUCA
Long non-coding RNA from Octopus bimaculoides (California two-spot octopus), 974 nucleotides. RefSeq lists it as uncharacterized. Lineage: Eukaryota; Metazoa; Mollusca; Cephalopoda; Octopoda; Octopodidae. The record is from RefSeq and is a predicted model, not a curated record.